UACGAAGGGGGCUAGCGUUGCUCGGAAUCACUGGGCGUAAAGCGCACGUAGGCGGAUUGUUAAGUCAGGGGUGAAAUCCUGGAGCUCAACUCCAGAACUGCCUUUGAUACUGGCGAUCUUGAGUCCGGGAGAGGUGAGUGGAACUGCGAGUGUAGAGGUGAAAUUCGUAGAUAUUCGCAAGAACACCAGUGGCGAAGGCGGCUCACUGGCCCGGUACUGACGCUGAGGUGCGAAAGCAUGGGGAGCAAACAGG
Molecule: ribosomal RNA, 253 nt
Filed under: uncultured bacterium
Lineage: Bacteria
Description: partial 16S ribosomal RNA
Rfam family: Bacterial small subunit ribosomal RNA
Source: RNAcentral